UUGCAACCUGCUCUUACUUCCCCAUGUCCACUCCUCAAUCAAUACAAGGAGGCCUCUGGCGCUCCUGUGAUUGAGCGGUUGUGGGUUUUUUCCUCACCAGCUGGACUGCGGUCAGUUGGUGUACACCUGCACCACAGCGGGCUGUGUAAGAUCUGAUUCAGGGUCUGCAGGGCGGGGUGGUGAGUAGGCUACAGGGGUGAGCAGCGCAGGGCAGGCCCGCCAUUUCCCCCUCGCCUCUGUGGUCUGUUUUCUUUCGUAGCGCUUUUUAAAGCCUAGCAGCGGCGGCAGCGGCAGGAGGAGGAGGAGCGGCGACGACUGGCGGAGCGGCGGAGGCAGGCAGGAGGAGAGACGCAGGGAUCCGGUGUGCCACAUCGGGAUGCGAGCGAGACAGAGACCCGGGUCGGAUGAGUCAGCGCGAGGACCCUGCAGUCACGGCAUCUCUGAGAUCUGAAUGAAUUUGGACGGAGCCGAGCGGCGCAACAAAAAAUAAACAAUAACAUUUUUUGAUUGUUGUCAGAUUCCGCUUCUCUUUAUUCCGCCCUCCCCUGGUCCGCGUCUGCUAUAGCCUGGUUUUGAUUUUUUUUUAUUUACACCAAGGUGGGGAAAAAAGGGGGGUCCGGCAAGGUUGCGGAGGAGGUGGAGGAUUUAUUUUAUUUUUUCAAAGCUCAUUAUCCGAAGAGAAACCCCAGACGAGGCUUACAUUUUCAAAGUCUUUUUGUUGCAUUUGAGGGAGCCGAAGAUGUCGGGGCAGAGCAUUACCGACCGGAUAACUGCAGCCCAGCACAGUGUAACGGGAUCCGCCGUGUCGAAAACAGUAUGCAAGGCCACCACUCACGAAGUCAUGGGCCCGAAAAAGAAACAUUUGGAUUAUUUGAUUCACUGCACCAAUGAGAUGAAUGUGAACAUUCCCCAGCUGGCCGACUCGCUGUUUGAGAGGACCACCAACACCAGCUGGGUGGUUGUGUUUAAGUCACUCAUCACCACACACCACCUCAUGGUCUAUGGCAAUGAGCGUUUUGUCCAAUACUUGGCUUCAAGGAAUACACUAUUCAACCUCAGUAAUUUUUUGGACAAAAGUGGGUUACAAGGUUACGACAUGUCCACAUUUAUCAGGAGGUAUAGUCGAUACCUGAAUGAGAAAGCUGUUUCAUACAGACAGGUUGCCUUUGACUUCACAAAAGUUAAACGCGGAGUGGACGGCGUGAUGAGGACCAUGAAUACAGAGAAGCUGCUCAAGACUAUCCCCAUUAUUCAGAACCAGAUGGAUGCCCUCCUCGAUUUCAAUGUCAAUGCCAACGAGCUGACUAAUGGAGUCAUCAAUGCAGCCUUCAUGCUUCUCUUCAAAGACUCCAUCAGGCUCUUUGCUGCGUAUAAUGAAGGCAUUAUCAACCUGCUUGAGAAAUACUUUGACAUGAAGAAGACUCAGUGUAAAGAAGGUUUGGACAUUUACAAGAAGUUUCUCACCCGAAUGACCCGGAUAUCGGAGUUCCUCAAAGUAGCGGAGCAAGUGGGUAUUGAUCGAGGGGACAUUCCAGACCUAUCACAGGCUCCCAGUAGCCUUCUUGAAGCUCUGGAGCAGCACUUGGCCUCUUUAGAGGGCAAGAAGGUCAAAGACUCCACUGCAGCCAGCAGGGCUAGCACUCUGUCAAAUGCAGUGUCAUCACUGGCCAGCACAGGGAUGUCUUUCACUAAAGUGGAUGAGCGGGAGAAGCAGGCAGCUCUCGAAGAGGAACAGGCUCGACUUAAAGCUCUGAAGGAACAGAGGCUCAAAGAGCUUUCCAAGAAGCCCUCCUUCGCCACCACUGAUACAUCACCGGUCUCCACCACCGGUGGCACUAUCAGCACAGCACCAGCCAUCGACCUCUUCUCUACCCCCAGCUGCUCUAAUGGUGCAGUGAAGAUGGAGAGCGACCUUUUUGACCUGCAGUCAACUUUCCAGCCCUCCAUGCAGUCAGGCUCGACGGGGCUUCCAGUGGCGACAGCGUGGGCUGAUCCUUUCACCUCUGCUGAAGCUGGAGAUGAUUCCAUGCCAAACCUUAACCCUUUCCUCUCAAAACCCGUUGUCGAUGCCUCUCACUUACCUGUCGUGUCUUCAGACGGUGUUAGCUUUUCCUCUAGGACAUCUGGUCAUGAAAUGUUUGGUGAUCGUUACAAUCCCUUUACUGACACAAACUCAUCCGUUUCAACCAAUUACAAACGCACAGUGCGGAUAGAACACUCCGUCUCAGACUCCUUCUGUGGUCCAGUGUCCAUUGCCCAGCACCUCUCACACCAGGCUCCCUACCCCACUGAGCCCUCUACUGUAGCAGGUCUAUUCAGAGGUUACUCAACGCCACAGGCCCCACCACAGCAGUCAGCAGGGGGGGGACUCCAAGUGGACUUUGAGUCCGUAUUUGGAGCCAAAGCCACAGGCAGCAACAGUCUCAAUUCUGAUGAUAUUACUGGGAGCAUCCUGAAACCGACUCUUGCUGCCUGCAGCCAGCCGUCUGGUCAGCAGCCAGAGAAGCUAGUGUCAGAUGACCUUGACUCCUCCCUGGCCAACCUUGUCGGUAACCUCGGUAUUGGGAACGGCACGAUGAAAAAUGACAUCCACUGGAGCCAGCCGGGGGAGAAGAGGAUGACCGGUGGCACCAACUGGCAGCCCAAAGCGGCGCCGUCCACGACUUGGAACCCCGUUUCCAUGCCACAGUCAAUCAUGGCCUUCCCUGCCACCACACCCACAGGCAUGAUGGGAUAUGGCAUGCCUCCACAAAUGGGCUCUAUGGGGAUGAUGAAUCCACCCACCAUGAUGUACUCCCAGCCUGUGAUGAGGCCACCCAACCCCUUCGGCUCUGUGUCUAGUGCUCAGGUGGGUGCACGGCAGUCUGACAACUCCACGGAGCUGAUGCACAAUGAACUUCUCCAAACUAAUCUCAUCCCUCCUUCAGUCUCUGUACUGACUGUCUGACUUCUCCUCUGGUCCACCUACUUCCUGUAUUUCUUCCUGAAAUAGCCCUCUGCAGCCUCUAGUCCUUCCAGCCAGAGUCCUCUCCGAGCCCCUGGACAGGACCCGUUUGCACACCUCUCUCUCAAGGAUUUCUUGUAGAGCAUCUCUUUAGAUGCAGUUCAUGUAAUUUGAAGAAAAGUGUCUCUCGGAAAAUGAAGCACUUAGCAGCAAAGUUUUGUCCUCGUUGCAGUCUAACUCUUCAGAGAAACAUUCACACACCCCCAAAUACAGACAUGUCAAGAACACAACGGUGCCACGACUGUCAGAAACCAUGGUAACCAUGUCCAAAUGACGUUUGGCGAUAGCUCACACACUUUAUUCUGUAACUUGUCCGAGACGUCGAGUGAUGCUGCUGUCUAAACCCCCCUUAAAGAGGAUCCCUUAUCCAUUUUACAGUGUAAUCUGUAAAGAUAGUUAUGGGUGCUGAGAAACUUUGAUGUUAAAUAUUUGGACAUACUGUGGAUGUAAAGGCUUGAUGUUCAGCGGGGAGGGGGUGGAAGGAAAAAGGAGAGCAGUCCUUCCCUUUCUUGAUCCGACCAUCAGUCAUCCAUUCCCUACUGUUAUUUAACUGUCACUAAGUAGUGAUGCUAAUGGCGUUUACACCUGUUUAGUUUAUGUCUUUUUUACCGUGUUUACAGUAGACAUUCCUUGUGUGUUGUUUGUAUUUAUUUAUGAUUAUUGGUUUAAGAUUGGGGGUGGGGGGAUAAUGUAAAAUCUACAGUACAUUAAACACCUGUGGGAGUGCUUCAGCAUUAAACAAGGAUCUCAGACUAUCAUUGAGAGGUAGAGUUAAAAAUAGCUAUUAUAUAAAUUACACCUAUUAAGCGGAAUGAUAGAGCACUAAAUAUUCUACAAGUUUUGUGUUAAGAAAUUUUUUUACUAGAGAAAGAUUUCACAAUCUCCUCCAAUGUACUUAAAAGUGCAGGGGUUAGAGUACAAGUCAGUUAACAGUAUAUAGUCGAUUCUGUGCCUAGGGUUUUCUGCAAUGGAUCAGUUUCCUGUCUAGUUGAAAAAACAAAACAAAAAAAAACACUUCAUCCACAAAUCUGAAGCGUCGCACUGGGUGGUGGGCUCCAUUUGCUUUAAGCUUGGCAUGCCAUUGAUUCACUGACCGUAUUCAAGGCUGCCUUUACUCUGAAUGUGAAAGAGUUGUCUUCAUGUUGCACACAUCUUUCAACACUAGUUCCUCAGCGGGAGUGGGGGUGCAUGGGUGGGUGGGGGACAGAGAGGGUCUGCUUGCUGGUUAGCCGUCGUUACGCUAAUGGGGAAAGGGUCACAGAUUUGAUGUAAAUUAAUUGUAUAAAAGAUCCAGAGGACCAGGGUGGAGCGGAGGAGCGCUGUUGAUCGGUGCUCUGUGUAUAUAUAUAUUAAAAAAACUGACUGUUCUUUGAGUUCAAAAGUGAAAGAUGUAUGAAAUAUGAAAGCAAUUCAAUCAAAUUUGACUCUACCUAAGUUUGAUUCAGGAUAUUCUCUGCGUUUGUCGCCGCAGAUAUUUUCUUUAUGUAAUUAGAACGUGUAGCAGACAAUGACUGAAGUCUUUUCUUUCUUUUACAAAUAAAGAGCAGCUUCCACAAA
Molecule: RNA transcript, 4561 nt
Organism: Micropterus dolomieu (smallmouth bass)
Lineage: Eukaryota; Metazoa; Chordata; Actinopteri; Centrarchiformes; Centrarchidae
Gene: picalmb
Gene name: phosphatidylinositol binding clathrin assembly protein b
Exons: 23
Source: RefSeq, a predicted model, not a curated record